UCUUGUGCUCUGCUCGUUUCUUACUCUCUUUCUUGUUUCUCUGCUUGAUUUGCAGUUCAGACGGUGCCGUGCCGUUGGGGUUGCCUUGCCGGUCGACCGGAGAUGGAGCUUAUCGUUUGAGCCUCUGCCCUCCCCGUCGAGGUUGCUCCUCACCAUCGCAGGCACGGUCUGGUCGGGGCCACGACAACGAGAGGAGCAGCAGAGGAUAACUUUUCCCCACGGAUCCUUCUCGUCUUCCAUGUGAUUCGAGUCGCCUCUCUCCGUCAGGUACGAACUCGAUCCGCCUCCCCGCAGGAUGAUUCUCCGUUGAUUUCUUUUCCUGUCGCGUCGAUCCGGGCGGAUCUGGGACGGAAUCAGCCGCACCUGAUGCUGGGUCGUUUCAUCUAUUUGAUCCUGUUCGCCCCCGCUCUGUUUGCUUGAUGAUCCAUUCGAUUGGGGAUAAGCAAAGGGGUUCGGGGAUUGAUGAUUUGUUGGGAAGUUAGCCUCUGCUGCUGCAUCUUAGUGGAUCUGAUCUGGAUUUGCAGUUUGAGGUAGGGGUCCAUAAUGUGUGGGCAUUUUGCGAGCUUGUAAGCUUAUGUAGAACUGCUUGGGUAGAUCCAACUAUUCUGUGGUAGUUGCUCGUAUGUAUGGUAAAUUAACCCGAUUAGCCUGCUGUGUAUGAAUAUUUAAGCCGCUUUCUUUCAAUCUGUUGGUUCUGAGCUUUGCAUCACUGGUGUGUGUUCCUUCCAGAUCCUGCACGGACCUCCCUGUCAGGCCCCUCUUGCCGCCCGUCGACACGUCCUUCGAUCUUGUUGUGUUGAUCAUGGGUAAGUGGCAAUGCAUUAUAAUGUAGUCAUUGGAGUUCUCUUUUGGGCUUUUAUUUAACUUUUGAUGUACAAUGUUUACAACUACCCAAAAAAUUAAGCUAUGUGUGACGUGAUUUAUAACUAAGCAUGGUCUAAUGUUUUGAGGGCAAUGACAGGGACCAUUCCAUUUGAAGAGGCUCAUGCUGCCCGGAUUUCAUUAAGCAAGCCAUCUAUGUCCCAAAGUUGAGGACCGUUUGGAGAAGAGGCUACCCAGGUAAGCUUAUCCAAGCUCAAACAUUAAUUUAAUCAUUAUUUAGUUGCCGUACUUGCGUUCCUAGAUGGAUCUUUUGAGAUUCCACAACUUUGAAAUUCUUACUUGGGAUCAUUUGAUAUGUGCCCUUGAAAAUAACAGAACGGAUCAUUCCUAGAUGAAUUCUUAGCUGAUUUCACUGGGCUUCUCCCUUUAUGCUAAUAUGAAAUAUAUUAGCUGCAGUAUAUAGUCUAGGUUCAUUUUAAUGCGACUAAAUGAGAUAAAAAUACUACCUGCUUAUACCACUCGAGUAUCCACCGUUAGGACGUUAUGUUCCCUGCAAACACAACAUAACCUUUUUGACUUAUUAUCCCUAAAAAAAGCUGACUCUUUUUCACAAGCUGAAAAGACAAUCUGAUCUGCCACAUUUGGUCUGAAAUUUUCUUCUUGUGUGUCCACAUGAUAAAGAGGAUGCCUUUGAUCAAUUGUAAAUCACUUAUUUUUCUAGGAUAUAUAGAUUUCUUGAAUUACCCACAAUAUACUUUUAUGUCAUCUAAUAUACGUUUCCCAGACAAUUUAAACAGAUGCAGGAUAUGAUUAGGCGCACAUAUACAAGUAUCUUUAUGACGACACCUGCACCAGUUUUCAUCGUUGUUGUUCUUGCCUGUUGCCUCCCCCCCCUAUCGCUUUGCUAGGUGAGAGACCCCUCUCCUUUCCUGUUAGAAAAUACCAAGUAUUUGCAAUGCUUGAUUGUUAUGCCAACUUUUCUUAGAACCUUGGUGCAUGGGCCAUACAGCGAUCUCCAUACUACAAUUUAGAAUUAUAAGAAAUUGCAUCCUCUAUUUAUUUAGGAAUCUAGGUUUGUAUUUUUCUGAUUUGGUUUUUGCUUUCUGGUUAUUUGGUACCGUGCGCCAUGAUGUACUUCCUGUCUAUCAUGCUUGGGUUUGUAGGUACCGUUCAUUGAUCCCUGGACUUUUGACCAAUUUAUGUUCGUGACAUCUUGCGUGUAUUCCCUUUCUCAUGAUUUGUGAUUCUCAAUUCUGCCAGCUUUGUGGAGACAUGGAACCGAAGUCAUGAGGUGGACAUUAUCAUUUUGUUAGACUGGGUGUGGAAUUGCAAGUUACUCCAUUGGCAACCACAUACAGACCCGCACCAACUAUCAUCAUAAAUAGAUUAUUUCCAUGCUCUAAGUCAGUCUGUUAGGGGAAAAUCAAAGGCAUGUGGGCACCUGAUCUAUUUGUAACAUCGACAUGUGAUGUGUGCAACUAAAAAAAUGUUAGGCUAUGAUAGCAAUUCUUUUCAACACAUGUUCUCAUACAUUCUGGAUAUACUUCCUGCUAAAAUGACAUAUAUAUUUUCUUUUACAUGUCGCCUUUAUACCUUUUCAUCCCCUGGACCUGUGUAAUACUCCCUCUGUACCGUAAUAGUUGU
This 2466-nucleotide long non-coding RNA is filed under the name Triticum aestivum (bread wheat). RNAcentral's name for it is "long non-coding RNA (TAES_LNC002797)". Lineage: Eukaryota; Viridiplantae; Streptophyta; Magnoliopsida; Poales; Poaceae. The record is from RNAcentral.